AUUAUUCGUGUGUGGCUGCUUAUUGGGCCCUCUAGCCUGUAGCCCGUAAGCCCAUGGCCUGGAUAUGCGGCGGCAGCAAACCCAAGCUUCCACCGUUGACCAUUCCACGGCGGCGUAGGCCGGCCGCCGGCAGCUUUUCCGAGUUGCAGAGCGAAUCCAGUAUUCCAGUAGCCAUGGCGGUGCGCUUGGUGGUGAGCCUGCGCGCGAUGAUGGCGUCGUGUCCCCCUCCGCGGUGCCGUAUGCUGCUGCGCGGCGGCGAGCCGGCGACUGCAGCUGGUUUAGUGACGGCAGCCCUUAUUGUUCAGGGGUAUAUCUCUCACCAGGAAUGUGUAGGUGAUGAUCCUGCGAAAAAGAUUCUAGUCUUGUUCUUGUCAAUAUGCUCUCCGAGCCAUUCAGAAGGAAAGAAUUGUACUUACAUGACCUUCAUCCUCAUGUCAUCCUUCUGCUUCCUCCACCAUAGCCUGUAGAAUUGUGAAGGAAAACAUACCAGUGCCUUGAAGGAGAUGAGAGAGCCAUUGAAGAUGCGCGUCUUGAGCCUGUCAUCAGCUUUUCAAGCAGCUUGGUGGCAUCGAAUCUGUUUUGACAUGGCAAAUCCUGACAUCAGUCAUCAUGUCUUCCUACCAUGCAGAGUGCAGUAGAUCUGAAAAGCGUGGAUGAUGAGCAGCAGCAUUCAGCGGAGCAUCUGCAGGUUGCAAGGUUGGAGAUGGGUGGUACAAUGAUUGAUUGCUGAUUUGCAGUAGAUGUGGUACGUACGUUCCUGUACAUCCUGGAAGAAAAGAACAGCAUCUGGUCCACACACAGCAAACACUGAACAUCAACAUCGGUGCUCGAUCUCAAGUCAAAAAGUUUGAGAAUCAAGGUAGUCGACCAUGCACACGGGACCUAGCUAGUACCUCUACAAGCUAGCAGGUUACAAGGAGUCAAGGACAAGCAAAAAAGGAAGGAAAUUAAAGAGAGAAAUACACUUACAUGACCUUCAUCCUCAUGUCAUCAUUCUGCUUCCUCCACCACAGCCUGUAGAUUUGUGAAGGAUCGGAAUGCACACCAAUGCCUUGAAGGAGAUGAGCGAGCCAUUGAAGAUGCGCGUCUUGAGCCUGUCAUCAGCAUUUCAAGCAGCUUGAUGGCAUCGAAUCUGUUCCGGAAAGGUCGGUAAAAUUCAAACAUCAUGUCAUGAAUACCAUGUAGCGUAAGUUAUGCAAUACAGUAAAAGGUAGGUAGAAGUUUUCCUCGCGUCUGAUAUUUCACUGUCAAUUAGUUCUCUUACAUGUUUUGUUUCUUGUUGGCCUCUAGCUAACAACCGUAAUCAGAUCAGUUUUGCAACCUCAAAGUAAUAUUUUCUUCUCUCUGCAUUACUAUCCUCUGUCUUAAUGUCUUAUAUUCAGUUACAGAUUAAUUAUGUAUUUUUCUGCUUCCAUGAAACAAAAAACAUUUACUACCCUUGGAAAAUUCUUAAACUGCACCUUCACAUAUACAGGAACUUUUGGACUGACAAGAACAAAGUUGAUCUAAAAGUACCUGGAAAAUCUGUAUGUAAUCCUAUCCUACCUUGGAAGGUCGCAUCCAUGAGGCUGCCAUCUCCAGUGCUGGUACAUGACAUCCUUCCUGCCAUAUUUAUCACAAGCCACCUCAGGGAAGAUGAAGGUGCACUUGAGCCCGGAGUACAAUGGCCGGGACACAUUGUCGUAAACCCACUGCCCCCUCGACCAGUUGCACUCCUCCUUGCUGGUGUCCCCGGCCUCAGUUGUCCCUCCAAUCCAUGGUUCUUGGCGUCCAUGCUCGACCGCCAUUUGCACCUGCGCUUCCUGGCCUCUGUCGAAGAGGAAGACGAUGGAGCUGGCGACGACAAAGAAGGCCACUAGGAAGCUCACGAUGCUCCUUACUCCAACCGGAGCAUGGAGCACCAUCAUCUUGGGAGUGGCUUGUGUCUUCAUUCUUUCUUCAGAAAAGUGUGGUGCAUAGCUUGGCUCCCCUCUUUUAUGAUCUAACUGUGCAUCAAUACGAAUAAUUAAGUGAUGUCGGAAUGCGUCUCUUCUCCACAUAGGUGCAGCGUGAAUUUCUUUAAAGGGUCUUCUUUCGGCAUAGGAAGAAAUGGGUGGUUCAAAAUACCAAAAAAGGGUUAGGUGGCAUCCUGUGGUCACGUUUGCUUUAUGGAGUAUCUUGUCCUAUCCAGUCGGCAGGGUACAAGGACGACGGAACUGUAGCAUUUUGGUGGCGCUGUCUGCAGUUCAUCAGCAAGGGGGAAUGAAGCUGCCAAUGCAAGCUGGAAGAAAGACAACAGUGUACAAGGACGACGCUAUUUCUGUCAGCUUCCUACAUUUUACUAGGCGCGGCUGCAGCGCAUGCAGUGACAAUAAUCUAAAGAGGACGUAUCAACCUCAACCACAUCAGUCACCAUCCAUGUCAUUUUGUCCUAAUAACAAACAGAUCAAUUUGUGGGACUCAGAAACUUUAUUCAGCAUCUAAUCCUUU
Panicum hallii is the source of this 2469-nucleotide long non-coding RNA. RefSeq lists it as uncharacterized. The record is from RefSeq and is a predicted model, not a curated record. NCBI's taxonomy places the organism in Eukaryota, Viridiplantae, Streptophyta, Magnoliopsida, Poales, Poaceae. The transcript is spliced from 12 exons.